AGCGAACGCUGGCGGCAUGCUUAACACAUGCAAGUCGCGCGGGUGGUUUCGGCCAUCAGCGGCGGACGGGUGUGUAUCGCGGAGGGAUGUAUCCCGAGGUGGGGGACAACCCUGGGAGACUGGGGCUAAUACCGCAUGGGGCCUGUGGGUCACAGCCUUAGGGCCCCUUGGGAGCAGCCUGCGUCCGAUUAGGUAGUUGGUGGGGUAAAGGCCUACCAAGCCUGCGAUCGGUAGCUGGUCUGAGAGGACGAUCAGCCACACUGGGACUGAGACACGGCGCAGACUCCUACGGAAGGCAGCAGUGGGGAAUAUUGGACAAUGGGCGCAAGCAUGAGCCAGCAAUGCCGCGUGGGUGAAGAAGGUCUUCGGAUUGUAAAGCCCUUUCGGCGGGGACGAUGAUGACGGUACCCGCAGAAGAAGCCCCGGCUAACUUCGUG
RNAcentral lists this ribosomal RNA (437 nucleotides) under uncultured bacterium. RNAcentral describes it as "partial 16S ribosomal RNA". It matches the Rfam family "Bacterial small subunit ribosomal RNA", at positions 28 to 507 of the family's 1533-position model. The record is from RNAcentral.